Molecule: ribosomal RNA, 160 nt
Filed under: uncultured bacterium
Lineage: Bacteria
Description: partial 16S ribosomal RNA
Rfam family: Bacterial small subunit ribosomal RNA
Source: RNAcentral
UGGGGAAUAUUGCACAAUGGGCGAAAGCCUGAUGCAGCCAUGCCGCGUGUAUGAAGAAGGCCUUCGGGUUGUAAAGUACUUUCAGUCGUGAGGAAGGGUGUGUAGUUAAUAGCUGCANAUCUUGACGUUAGCGACAGAAGAAGCACCGGCUAACUCCGUG